CAGUCGCCGCGGGAAUACGUAGGGUGCAAGCGUUAAUCGGAAUUACUGGGCGUAAAGCGUGCGCAGGCGGUUUGUUAAGACAGAUGUGAAAUCCCCGGGCUUAACCUGGGAACUGCAUUUGUGACUGGCAAGCUAGAGUAUGGCAGAGGGGGGUGGAAUUCCGCGUGUAGCAGUGAAAUGCGUAGAUAUGCGGAGGAACACCGAUGGCGAAGGCAGCCCCCUGGGCCAAUACUGACGCUUAUGCACGAAAGCGUGGGGAGCAAACAGGAUUAGAUACCCGAGUAGUCCCUGUCUCUUAUAC
Molecule: ribosomal RNA, 301 nt
Filed under: uncultured bacterium
Lineage: Bacteria
Description: partial 16S ribosomal RNA
Rfam family: Bacterial small subunit ribosomal RNA
Source: RNAcentral